RNAcentral lists this ribosomal RNA (430 nucleotides) under uncultured bacterium. RNAcentral's name for it is "bacterial SSU rRNA". It matches the Rfam family "Bacterial small subunit ribosomal RNA", at positions 354 to 776 of the family's 1533-position model. The record is from RNAcentral.
GUGGGGAAUUUUGGACAAUGGGGGAAACCCUGAUCCAGCCAUGCCGCGUGAGUGAAGAAGGCCUUCGGGUUGUAAAGCUCUUUCAGCCGGAACGAAACGGUUACGGUUAAUACCCGUGACUACUGACGGUACCGGAAGAAGAAGCACCGGCUAACUACGUGCCAGCAGCCGCGGUAAUACGUAGGGUGCGAGCGUUAAUCGGAAUUACUGGGCGUAAAGCGUGCGCAGGCGGUUUUGUAAGUCAGAUGUGAAAUCCCCGGGCUUAACCUGGGAACUGCGUUUGAAACUGCAAGGCUAGAGUGUGGCAGAGGGGGGUGGAAUUCCGCGUGUAGCAGUGAAAUGCGUAGAGAUGUGGAGGAACACCGAUGGCGAAGGCAGCCCCCUGGGUCAACACUGACGCUCAGGCACGAAAGCAUGGGGAGCAAACAGG